GACGAACGCUGGCGGCGUGCUUAACACAUGCAAGUCGAACGGAAAGGCCCUGCUUUUGUGGGGUGCUCGAGUGGCGAACGGGUGAGUAACACGUGAGUAACCUGCCCUUGACUUUGGGAUAACUUCAGGAAACUGGGGCUAAUACCGGAUAGGAGCUCCUGCUGCAUGGUGGGGGUCGGAAAGUUUCGGCGGUUGGGGAUGGACUCGCGGCUUAUCAGCUUGUUGGUGGGGUAGUGGCUUACCAAGGCUUUGACGGGUAGCCGGCCUGAGAGGGUGACCGGCCACAUUGGGACUGAGAUACGGCCCAGACUCCUACGGGAGGCAGCAGUGGGGAAUAAUGCACAAUGGGCGGAAGCCUGAUGCAGCAACGCCGCGUGCGGGAUGACGGCCUUCGGGUUGUAAACCGCUUUCGCCUGUGACGAAGCGUGAGUGACGGUAAUGGGUAAAGAAGCACCGGCUAACUACGUG
Molecule: ribosomal RNA, 468 nt
Filed under: uncultured bacterium
Lineage: Bacteria
Description: partial 16S ribosomal RNA
Rfam family: Bacterial small subunit ribosomal RNA
Source: RNAcentral